This 466-nucleotide ribosomal RNA is filed under the name uncultured bacterium. RNAcentral describes it as "bacterial SSU rRNA". It matches the Rfam family "Bacterial small subunit ribosomal RNA", at positions 338 to 795 of the family's 1533-position model. The record is from RNAcentral.
CCUACGGGCCGCACCAGUGGGGAAUAUUGCACAAUGGGCGCAAGCCUGAUGCAGCCAUGCCGCGUGUAUGAAGAAGGCCUUCGGGUUGUAAAGUGCUUUCAGCGGGGAGGAAGGCGAUAAGGUUAAUAACCUUGUCGAUUGACGUUACCCGCAGAAGAAGCACCGGCUAACUCCGUGCCAGCAGCCGCGGUAAUACGGAGGGUGCAAGCGUUAAUCGGAAUUACUGGGCGUAAAGCGCACGCAGGCGGUCUGUCAAGUCGGAUGUGAAAUCCCCGGGCUCAACCUGGGAACUGCAUUCGAAACUGGCAGGCUAGUGUCUUGUAGAGGGGGGUAGAAUUCCAGGUGUAGCGGUGAAAUGCGUAGAGAUCUGGAAGAAUACCGGUGGCGAAGGCGGCCCCCUGGACAAAGACUGACGCUCAGGUGCGAAAGCGUGGGGAGCAAACAGGGAUUAGAUACCCCAGUAGUC